ACCAGAGAGUUAUUUCUCAGCUCUCAAGAUUCCUAGAGCGAAUCCAGCCACAGACCUGAGAGGCGCAGGCUUCCUUGCCCUCCUGCAUCUGCUCUACCUGGUGAUGGACUCAAAGACCUUGCCGAUGGCGCAGGAGAUUUUCCGCCUGUCUCGUCACCACAUCCAGCAAUUCCCUUUCUGUUUGAUGUCCGUGAACAUCACCCACAUCGCCAUCCAGGCCUUGAGAGAGGAGUGUCUCUCCAGAGAGUGUAAUCGGCAGCAGAAGGUCAUCCCCGUGGUGAACAGCUUCUAUGCCGCCACAUUCCUCCACCUCGCACAUGUCUGGAGGACACAGCGGAAGACCAUCUCAGACUCGGGCUUUGUCCUCAAAGAGUUGGAAGUAUUGGCCAAGAAGAGCCCACGGCGGCUGCUCAAGACCCUGGAGCUGUACUUGGCCAGGGUGUCAAAGGGACAGGCCUCCUUGUUGGGAGCACAGAAGUGCUAUGGGCCAGAAGCCCCUCCCUUCAAGGAUCUCACCUUCACAGGUGAGAGUGACCUGCAGUCUCACUCAUCCGAAGGCGUAUGGCUGAUCUGACCUCCGAGAUGAAUGGAGGCUUAAAGGCUGAGC
This 607-nucleotide small RNA is filed under the name Pan troglodytes (chimpanzee). RNAcentral describes it as "processed transcript". Lineage: Eukaryota; Metazoa; Chordata; Mammalia; Primates; Hominidae. The record is from RNAcentral.